RNAcentral lists this long non-coding RNA (353 nucleotides) under Ananas comosus (pineapple). Its description in RNAcentral is "long non-coding RNA (ACOM_LNC008729)". Lineage: Eukaryota; Viridiplantae; Streptophyta; Magnoliopsida; Poales; Bromeliaceae. The record is from RNAcentral.
UAGUGGAUUCGAGGAAAUAGAGUUCGUGCAUCUAUCAAAAGAAGAGAAUAAAUAAGCUAACUAUUUAGCUCAAUCGACACCGAAAGGAAGCUAAAUAAAAAUGGGGAGAAGGUUGCUACCGUCGGUAUAUACACGAGAGCCGACGAUAAUUGCUCCAGUAGAAGUACAAGAUAAUUGGAGAAAACCUUUAGUGGAAUUCCUCAAUGAUCUAAAUAAAUAGGUUAGCUAUCACAUACGGAAAAGAGCACUCGGCUAUUGUUUGUUAAAUGGGUAGCUUUAUAAAAGAAUAACCAAAGAAGUGAUGUUAAGAUGUUUAGGACCUGAUAAAGCCCUAAUAAUUAUGGAUAAAGUCC